Molecule: ribosomal RNA, 844 nt
Filed under: Streptomyces chromofuscus
Lineage: Bacteria; Bacillati; Actinomycetota; Actinomycetes; Kitasatosporales; Streptomycetaceae
Description: bacterial SSU rRNA
Rfam family: Bacterial small subunit ribosomal RNA
Source: RNAcentral
UGCUUAACACAUGCAAGUCGAACGAUGAACCACUUCGGUGGGGAUUAGUGGCGAACGGGUGAGUAACACGUGGGCAAUCUGCCCUGCACUCUGGGACAAGCCCUGGAAACGGGGUCUAAUACCGGAUACGAGCCUCCUCCGCAUGGUGGGGGUUGGAAAGCUCCGGCGGUGCAGGAUGAGCCCGCGGCCUAUCAGCUUGUUGGUGAGGUAACGGCUCACCAAGGCGACGACGGGUAGCCGGCCUGAGAGGGCGACCGGCCACACUGGGACUGAGACACGGCCCAGACUCCUACGGGAGGCAGCAGUGGGGAAUAUUGCACAAUGGGCGAAAGCCUGAUGCAGCGACGCCGCGUGAGGGAUGAAGGCCUUCGGGUUGUAAACCUCUUUCAGCAGGGAAGAAGCGAAAGUGACGGUACCUGCAGAAGAAGCGCCGGCUAACUACGUGCCAGCAGCCGCGGUAAUACGUAGGGCGCAAGCGUUGUCCGGAAUUAUUGGGCGUAAAGAGCUCGUAGGCGGCUUGUCACGUCGGUUGUGAAAGCCCGGGGCUUAACCCCGGGUCUGCAGUCGAUACGGGCAGGCUAGAGUUCGGUAGGGGAGAUCGGAAUUCCUGGUGUAGCGGUGAAAUGCGCAGAUAUCAGGAGGAACACCGGUGGCGAAGGCGGAUCUCUGGGCCGAUACUGACGCUGAGGAGCGAAAGCGUGGGGAGCGAACAGGAUUAGAUACCCUGGUAGUCCACGCCGUANACGGUGGGCACUAGGUGUGGGCGACAUUCCACGUCGUCCGUGCCGCAGCUAACGCAUUAAGUGCCCCGCCUGGGGAGUACGGCCGCAAGGCUAANACUCAA